Molecule: long non-coding RNA, 1048 nt
Organism: Andrographis paniculata
Lineage: Eukaryota; Viridiplantae; Streptophyta; Magnoliopsida; Lamiales; Acanthaceae
Exons: 3
Source: RefSeq, a predicted model, not a curated record
GACGCAGUUUUAGAAGUAUGAGGAAUUUUACGCAAUUUCGUAAAAUCACAGAUAAAUUUUGUGCAAUUUAGCCCAAUAGAAAUAUUAAUUUCCACCGUUAAUCGCUAUUUUAUAUUAUGUAAUAUUAUAUUACAUAUAUAUGACUGUGUAUAUAUAUACUGUGUGUAAAUAAUAUAAUGUAUAAAUAUAUGUAUGUAUAAUAUAAAUGUACGAAUGUGAUGUUACUAUAUAUAUAUAUGUAGGGUUCGGAUCUUCUGUCUGACACAUCUCUCUGUCGCCCUUGUCCAUCCAAUUGGAGAGCGACAGAUGCCUCUUUACCUUUUUUUUAAAAAAUAAAAAUUAAAUUUUUAUUACAAUUUACAAUUUCACCCCUAAAUUUUAAUGGCGAUUUUAUUUCUCUUUCAACCCCCAAAUUCCAUUUUUAUUUUGUUUGAACGAAGCAACAAUUCCAUCGCCUCGCUCGCCGCCCAGUCUGUUGCCUCCAGUCGCCGACUAGGCCGUCGCCUUCGCACACCACCUAGCCUCUCGCCGUCGUCAUUGUCCCGUUCGUUGCUGCUCUAUCCCCUUUCCCAAACCGCCCACCAUCAGAAAUCCUCCGGCUAUCUUCUAAUCGUCCUAGAACUGCGAACAUCGUCAUUGAGGUUGUUGAGGGCAAAAACCCUCUCACUGGAUCUAUAAGGGUUUACUCCAAGCCUAAGGCUAGAUCUUGGUCUCUGGAAGGGGCACUGAAACUGAAGAAUUUUCUCGGAUAUGGAGAUAUUUGGGAUGGUUCGGUUGCGUGUGGAUGGAGUCAGAUCCGUCUCAAAUGUCUUCCCAUGCUGUGAGAAGGCAGCUUGGGCAUAGUUUCUGUCAGCGUUAAAGUAUACAUUUAAAAUUGAUUCAAGAGAUUCACCGAUGAGACCUACUAAAGGACAUGCAUUUGUUUCCACAACUCAAGUUGGUGGUCUUUUUCUUGAUGUUCAAAGGCUACGCUUCAUACAUGGUUAGAUUUUGUUCUUUAGGAGCUGUCUAUAUAAGUACUCCAUCACUUAAAAAAAGUUCAUUCAAU